UCUGGUUCUGGUCUUUAUUCCCUUUGUGACCUAGGGUAAGUUAUUUAACUCUCCUGGGCCUCAGUUGCUGUAAUUGAGUUAAUUAAUGUCUAGUAUCUAGGCCACUGCAUAGGCAUUCUGUCAAAGUUAAUGCUCUUCUCCCCCUCAUUGUUGCACGAUGGAAUGCACAUACUCUGUACUCACACAUUGUGUCCCAGAGCUAGGCUCCUCCAUUGAAAACCCACCUGAAACUUAGUUCUUUUGGGAGCCUUCCCUCACCCCUGUGCCCUAGAGGCCAAAGGGUUGCAUAACCCUGGUAGCCAUGGUGAUCGUGUUCAUUUGCCUGAGUUUUAAGGAACAGCUACCUAGCACUCCAUCUUUUGAAUAGAGGCAAAUGUACUAGACUGUCAGUGCCUGGUUGGAUUUGUUUUUUGGCUAGUUUUGGAUGUGGGGCUUUAUACUGUGAAUUCUUGUAUAGGCUCAAGGGACAGCCUUCAAAAUAGCCAUACUUCUUGGAGGGCAUAGGUAGGUAUAGGAGAUAAUGGGAACUGUGGCACUGUUGCCUGGCGAUUGAACAUUGCUAAAGAUGGGACAUAUAUGAGGCCCAGUCUGCAUUUGGCCUUAUACAUUACAUACUAAUUGGGAACACAUUUUAUACUCUAAAGUUGUGAAAAGUUCUCCUGCCUGCAUUCCAAACUGAUGUCUGUCUGCCCUGGUUAUGCCAUUUAUUUAGAGUAGUACAUCAGGGAACCACACAUCUCAGGAGAGACCUUUGGUUUAUCCCUAGUGUAUCAGUGGGCAUUCCCCUUCCUGCUUCUCAGUGAUUUGC
RNAcentral lists this long non-coding RNA (808 nucleotides) under Marmota monax (woodchuck). The record is from RNAcentral. Lineage: Eukaryota; Metazoa; Chordata; Mammalia; Rodentia; Sciuridae.